AUUGAACGCUGGCGGCAGGCCUAACACAUGCAAGUCGAACGGUAACAGGAAGAAGCUUGCUUCUUUGCUGACGAGUGGCGGACGGGUGAGUAAUAUCUGGGAAACUGCCUGAUGGAGGGGGAUAACUACUGGAAACGGUAGCUAAUACCGCAUAACGUCGCAAGACCAAAGAGGGGGACCUUCGGGCCUCUUGCCAUCGGAUGUGCCCAGAUGGGAUUAGCUAGUAGGUGGGGUAACGGCUCACCUAGGCGACGAUCCCUAGCUGGUCUGAGAGGAUGACCAGCCACACUGGAACUGAGACACGGUCCAGACUCCUACGGGAGGCAGCAGUGGGGAAUAUUGCACAAUGGGCGCAAGCCUGAUGCAGCCAUGCCGCGUGUAUGAAGAAGGCCUUCGGGUUGUAAAGUACUUUCAGCGGGGAGGAAGGGAGUAAAGUUAAUACCUUUGCUCAUGGACGUUACCCGCAGAAGAAGCACCGGCUAACUCCGU
This 489-nucleotide ribosomal RNA is filed under the name uncultured bacterium. RNAcentral describes it as "partial 16S ribosomal RNA". It matches the Rfam family "Bacterial small subunit ribosomal RNA", at positions 30 to 506 of the family's 1533-position model. The record is from RNAcentral.